AUGAACAUGUUUUUUCACCACUUCAUAUGCCACAACACGAGAUUUACUGAAAUUGUGUUUUCUUCAACUUUGAGGAUCUCUAAUUUAUUGAUGUUUUUUUACAUGAUUGUAGCCUACUCUGGAAAUGGUUCAUUUACAGAAGAGGUAAAACUAGAAUAUGAUCAUUGUUGUUACUUCAAUUUUUUGAGUAUUAAAUCUUCAAUCUAUUCCACUUACUAUUUGAUUUGCUUGUUUAGUUUCCAGUUACACCCUGGAUUUUGCAAGGGAUGCUUCAUUCAUUGA
Vicia faba (fava bean) is the source of this 282-nucleotide non-coding RNA. The record is from the annotation of a GenBank genome assembly. NCBI's taxonomy places the organism in Eukaryota, Viridiplantae, Streptophyta, Magnoliopsida, Fabales, Fabaceae.